Molecule: long non-coding RNA, 1701 nt
Organism: Sitophilus oryzae (rice weevil)
Lineage: Eukaryota; Metazoa; Arthropoda; Insecta; Coleoptera; Curculionidae
Exons: 2
Source: RefSeq, a predicted model, not a curated record
UUCUAACCUAUUUCUAACCCUAGGAAAAAUAUGUUUUUGUUUUUGAAUGGUUUUUGUUAUGGUUUUUGUAUCAAAAGUAAAAUAAGAAAUAAAUCAGAUAUGUGAUAAAACAGCUGAGGAAAAGAAAGGAGAAUACAGUGCAAAAAAUGGAAGGAAAUGAUAUAUUCUUUUGGAAAGAUGUGUAUUUGCGUUGAAUUUCAUAAGAAACCCUCACCGAUUGCCCUCUGCUUUUCAAUGAAAGUGUGUGCCAAAAAAGGGUAAAGCUGGAGCAACAAGAUUGGAAUCCUUCAGAUGGUUUUUGUUUCCAAUUAUUGCCUUCAAAUCAUUCCUCCAAAUAGCUCUUCAGAAAAUUAUACUCAAACAUUCAAAUUUUAAAUACAUGGACUCUAUCAUAGAGAUAAAUGCUGUAACUCCUGAACCUGCAUUUUUCUUUGAUAUAAAAAUAAUUUAAAUCUUAAUGGGUGUUAUACACUAUAAGAAAUGUAUUAUUGUUAUGAAGAGAUGCAGUGUAUAAGGCAAAGGUAUAAGGUAACUUUUUUUCGCAUUGUUUCAGUCUGUCUUUUUAAUUUGUUACAAUUUUUUGUAAAGUAAAUAGUGAAAAGACAUAUAAAGACAUACAUUUUUAAAAGUAUUUUUCUCAUGAGAAUUAAAUAUGAAAUUUUUGGCCAACGAGGUUGAACAGUGUUAGACUCGUUUAGAAAAAUGUUAAUUACUUAAGAACUAAUUAACAUAUCAAAGUGCCUAUUGCAUCAAUCGAUAGGAAAUUCAACCCUCUAUCUUAUUCUAUAUAUAACACACAUUUUAAACCCCAUAGCUACUUUAUUUUUUGAAGCAAAAAUGAACACAGGGCAACAUUUGAAAAAUUUUAGCCCAAAAAAUAAAGUGUUCCCUAGGGGGUUGAAAUUUUGUGUACAGAUAGAGGGUUGAAUUCCCUAUCGAUUGAUACUAAGAGCAUUCCGACAUUUUUUUUAAUUAAGGAGUAAUUAGCUUUUUAAUUUGAAAAACGAGGUCAAAAUACUAGAAUCAACAUUUUUUCUGUAGUGCUAAAAAUUUGUUACAGAUGUUGAAAAAUUUUGCAUGGGACAACCAAAUCUUGUGCAUUUUUGUCAUCAAAAAUUUCAUUUUGAACAAAAAUGAUAUAUUUUGCAGAAUCGUAUUUCUUAACGUGUAGGUAUUUUACAUUGCUAUUAUAUUUUUGGUUUGUCAUUAUACAUAUAUUUUAGGUUCGUUUGUUCAAAAUGAAAUAUUUUGCAGAAUGGUAUUUCUUAACGUGUAGGUAUUUUACAUUGCUAUUAUAUUUUUGGUUUGUCAUUAUACAUAUAUUUUAGGGUACUAUUUAAUUUUCUCUUGUUAUAUUUAUAAGACCUCUAAGAGUUUCUAUUUUUCUUUUAAUUGUUAUAGUAUAGGAAUUCUGACAGGACAAUGUUUUCCUAUAUCAUUCCAAAUUUCUAUUACAAUAAACUACCAUUUUAGAUUUCAAGUUUGCACAAAAAUGGCCUGUGCGAAAUAAGUAACGUUUGUUGGGGCCUUAAAGAAAACUACAAGGUAAAAUCUAGAUUUGUCUUUUAUUUUUUCAGAAUCUCUUUUACUUAUCGUGUGCUACAACGGGGCGAUUUUUUACAAAAAAACAUACAACCGAAAUAACAAAAACAGAACUUGAUUAAGUGUUAAAAUCAGUCAGAUCUUUCGACCAUGUUUUUU